GCACAAGCGGUGGAUGAUGUGGAUUAAUCGAUGCAACGCGAAAACCUUACCUACCCUUGACAUGUCUGGAAUCCCGAAGAGAUUUGGGAGUGCUCGCAAGAGAACCGGAACACAGGUGCUGCAUGGCUGUCGUCAGCUCGUGUCGUGAGAUGUUGGGUUAAGUCCCGCAACGAGCGCAACCCUUGUCAUUAGUUGCCAUCAUUUGGUCGGGCACUCUAAUGAGACUGCCGGUGACAAACCGGAGGAAGGUGGGGAUGACGUCAAGUCCUCAUGGCCCUUAUGGGUAGGGCUUCACACGUCAUACAAUGGUCGGUACAGAGGGUUGCCAACCCGCGAGGGGGAGCUAAUCCCACAAAGCCGAUCGUAGUCCGGAUCGCAGUCUGCAACUCGACUGCGUGAAGUCGGAAUCGCUAGUAAUCGUGGAUCAGCAUGUCACGGUGAAUACGUUCCCGGGUCUU
This 458-nucleotide ribosomal RNA is filed under the name uncultured Rhodocyclaceae bacterium. RNAcentral describes it as "bacterial SSU rRNA". It matches the Rfam family "Bacterial small subunit ribosomal RNA", at positions 923 to 1382 of the family's 1533-position model. The record is from RNAcentral. Lineage: Bacteria; Pseudomonadati; Pseudomonadota; Betaproteobacteria; Rhodocyclales; Rhodocyclaceae.